Long non-coding RNA from Bombyx mori (domestic silkworm), 670 nucleotides. RefSeq lists it as uncharacterized. The transcript is spliced from 2 exons. NCBI's taxonomy places the organism in Eukaryota, Metazoa, Arthropoda, Insecta, Lepidoptera, Bombycidae. The record is from RefSeq and is a predicted model, not a curated record.
UUUUAUGUAGGAUGCUAUUCACGAAUAGACUGAGGUCAAAAUGAACCAAUGCGAAAAUGAAGAAAAGCUAUUAGAGGUGCAUUUGUUUUUGUUUGACAUGGGUUCUUUCAAGCUUAGUUCCCAUUUAUUUGUUUAAUUUUUUUUAAGUAAUUCUAUAUCGAGAAAAGUGUUUGACGCGUUGCAGCUGUUCGAUUCAGGAUGGUAUUUCUUGCGUUAAGGAACAGAAUAAAAAAAAAAGAUAAUAUAGUUCGAAUCACAAACGAAUAACGGUAGCAAGUCCAACUGAGAACUAUAUUACUUUAUCAUAAUAUUUUGCGGCUUCAGUUUCAAAGUUUAAUGUUGAAACAGAACAGCGCGUAGUAAUGUAUUUUUAAGCUAUUGCAUAGCUUUUAUCGCGGGCCUUGAGCGCUGCGACUGAAUCAAGAAAUUCCGUAACGAAAAUAACCUGACACCCCCACUACGCCUACUAUGUAGGUCGCGUUCAACACAUUCACACGUUGCGCUUGUGUAGUGUUUGUGAAUAAGCGCGUGGCGUGACGUCGCAUUGCCGCAUGCACAUCAUAAAAGGUCUGCCCAUCUCUCCCUCGCGCGGUCAAGGUUAUGAGUGUGAAGGGGACAGUUAAUGUUUUGCUUUUGUUAAUGUUUAUAAAUAUAGCGUGAUCUUAUUUUA